This is an RNA transcript of Ostrea edulis (European flat oyster), 2454 nucleotides long. It is a transcript of the gene named protein draper-like, with no coding region annotated. The transcript is spliced from 4 exons. The record is from RefSeq and is a predicted model, not a curated record. Lineage: Eukaryota; Metazoa; Mollusca; Bivalvia; Ostreida; Ostreidae.
GUUAAAAGAAAUGUGCGCUAUGGUGUUGAUGCUGAUGUCAGAUAACAGUCACCAUAUGCUUUAUAAGGGAAUUUUUAAAUAUAAUCUAAGUAUUCCCGAGUUAUGUAUGGAUUCACUGCCUAACAUAAUAACGGUUUGGUGGGAGAUCUUAGGUGCCAAUAAGGGAGUGUGAUUUACCUGAAUGAAAUAUAGGACUCACAGUGCGUGUGAGCGGUCAUUAGGGGUAAUUACUUCUCCUAGGCUCCCGAUCCCACUGUGCCAGGUAUCAAUGAAAUACUCAUCGUGACGUCACAUAGUCUUACAAUGUGGAAGGAACUGCGAAAGAAGCACGCUAUUACAAGGUUGUCGGUCCAUAUUCUUCAUAUAGAAACAACGGAUAUAUCAGAUGCUAAAACAUAAUACUAAUAGGUCUUCGUUCGGUUAAAGUUUCAAUUGGGAAAAGAGCCUGGAAAUUUUUGCAAAAAUACACUACAAGUAUUGAAUGCAGUUCUCAUCUUUUACUGAUACUUCCAUUAGAUAAAAUAAAAAUAGAUUCAGGAUUUUAUGUUAAAUCUUAUAUUUUCAGUGAUUUGUUUCCUUAAAAUAAACACAUGGAAAUAAACACAUUAAUCUAUGGAAGUUUCCUGUAUGGUGUUAAAUUAUCACGUUUUUAAUAUUCCUUAUGUUAUUUAUUUUUAGGGAUGAGUGGUAUUAAAAUUAAUGAUAGUUUGGUUCACCGUAGUUAUCCUGACAAUUAUGGUGUUUUUAAAUUCAAAACAUUAAUGUUUCUCAAUCCACAUUUAUGUAUUCCAUGUAGUGUAUAUCCUUUAGGAAGUUAUGAGAUUGAUCACUGCUCGUUACCUUCAUCUAUUCAUUGUAAAUCAGACACGCACCGUGCUGAGUGUUUAUUGGACGUGCAACCUUUCUUAGAUUUUGUCGUUUUUCCUCGAAGAUGAAAUAAAAAAAAAAAACGUAUGCGUACGCAAGUAAUUCUAAACUUAUGCUCUAACUCAGGACCGACUCUUAAUCUGACAUUUUCAGAUGCCACCCCCCCGACACACACACACACACACACACACACACACACACACACAUACAUAUAUAUAUAUAUAUAUAUAUAUGCUCAAAACGCAGAUGACAUCAUAUACAAUUUCUAUCACUCAUUUCACUUACAACUUCCGCAAUUGUUAUACAUUUGCCGAAUGUUUCCAAUGGUGUCGAGUAACAUGAACAUUUUUCAAAAUGAUUGGAAUUUUUUUUCUAAGCACACUAAUCUUCACCAAAUGGUUUUUUGUUGCAUCUGGUAGAAUUAACUGUAGCUGGUAAGUAUCUUUUUGUACAUUCCAAUGUAUAUUCUAAUAUUUCAUACAAUCACUAGCCUUUGAAUUAUUCAAUAUAAUGAGUAUAUUCCGGUUGUGAUGUCGACUUUAAUAAUACAGUUUUCACUUCCAUGAUGAUUUCGACUUUUGGAUUGAUCUAAGCACCAUUCAUCUUAUCAAUAGUACUAAGCAGAGGACAAUACAAUGGGGUUCUUGAAACAUAAGAGGAGGGGCUAGGUAUAUAAGAAUACAUCAAACUGUUUAUUUUUCUUAACAUGCACAUUAACCUCGCUUGUAAUAUUUACACUGUACACACUCGGUGACUGUGGUAAAGUUUUGAACCAAAUAUCAGAGCAAUAAAGUCUGUGCGAAUUGGAAAAAUUACAUUACCCCCCAUUUAAGCUCUUAAAAUAUUUAUUACUACAACUCAUACUUGAAAUAACCAAAACAGUCUGGUGAAAUUUCCUCAUUUAAAAAAGUAUAGAAUAAAAGUCUUACAGAUAUAUGAAAUGUCUUACAUAUUAUUUAAUGUUGAUUUUGUUUAACUUUGAUAUGGAGGGCUGAUGAUGGCUGCUGUUCUCGUGAGGUUUGGGAUCCUAGAGUCAACCAGUGUCUUGCAACGUAGGAUAUACCGGAAAAGACUGUAAACAGCAGUGCAGAUACCCCUAUUACGGGAUGCAUUGUUUGAACACGUGUCUGUGCAAUGAGAUGGAUUGUGAUUUCCAAAUCGGAUGUUUACAUUUACAAGGCUCAUCAACAACUCCAAACCAGGUUACGGAUCGGACGGAUGAUAAGAGUAUGCAUACCAUUACAUCUGGUGCUGAGAAACAUAACAAAGAAUUAACUUCGCCAAACGAUGUCAAUGAAAACCACUUACUUCACCUCGUGUUAGGAUUUGGCACCGUUUUAUUGACUUGCACUCUAGCUUAUAUCAUCCUGUGGAUAUACGCAAAAAUAAAGAACAUUCACAGCGAAGACCACGAGAGACGAUCUUUAUACGCAGAGCCUGACGAUAUUGUGACACUUCACAUAUAAGCACUCUAUUUGAAAUAUAUCUGCACACCUUGUAUGCAUUUGCUGUAAUGGACAGCACUGGAUUUGCGUCAUUCCCGAUAUUUUUGUUCUUUUUUUUUCAUUUUAUAAAAAAGUGAAGUUA